CAAGUCGAGGGGCAGCGGAGGAGGCAGCAAUGCUUCUGCCGGCGACCGGCGAAUGGGUGAGUAACACGUAUCCAACCUGGCCCGCACUCGGAGACAGCCUUUCGAAAGAAAGAUUAAUACCCGAUGCGGCCGCGUUCCCACAUGGGAUUGCGGUCAAAGAUUCAUCGGUGCGGGACGGGGAUGCGCCUGAUUAGGCAGUUGGCGGGGUAACGGCCCACCAAGCCGACGAUCAGUAGGGGUUCUGAGAGGAAGGUCCCCCACAUUGGAACUGAGACACGGUCCAAACUCCUACGGGAGGCAGCAGUGAGGAAUAUUGGUCAAUGGGCGGAAGCCUGAACCAGCCAAGUAGCGUGCAGGACGACGGCCCUCUGGGUUGUAAACUGCUUUUGUGCGGGGGUAAUGUGGCCCACGUGUGGGUUAUUGCAAGUACCGCACGAAUAAGCAUCGGCUAACUCCGUGCCAGCAGCCGCGGUAAUACGGAGGAUGCGAGCGUUAUCCGGAUUUAUUGGGUUUAAAGGGAGCGUAGGUGGCCGGUUAAGUCAGUUGUGAAAAGCAGGUGCUCAACAUCUGCCUUGCAGUUGAAACUGUCCGGCUUGAGCGUGUGAGAGGCAGGCGGAAUUCGUGGUGUAGCGGUGAAAUGCUUAGAUAUCACGAAGAACUCCGAUUGCGAAGGCAGCUUGCUGGCCCACGUCUGACACUAAUGCUCGAAAGUGCGGGUAUCGAACAGGAUUAGAUACCCUGGUAGUCCGCACAGUAAACGAUGAAUACUCGCUGUUUGCGAUAGAAUGUAAGCGGCCAAGCGAAAGCGUUAAGUAUUCCACCUGGGGAGUACGCCGGCAACGGUGAAACUCAAAGGAAUUGACGGGGGCCCGCACAAGCGGAGGAACAUGUGGUUUAAUUCGAUGAUACGCGAGGAACCUUACCCGGGCUUGAAUUGCAUACGACGUGCGCGGAGACG
This 958-nucleotide ribosomal RNA is filed under the name uncultured bacterium. RNAcentral describes it as "bacterial SSU rRNA". It matches the Rfam family "Bacterial small subunit ribosomal RNA", at positions 58 to 1008 of the family's 1533-position model. The record is from RNAcentral.